UNUGACUUGAGUGCAGAAGGGGAGAGUGGAAUUCCAUGUGUAGCGGUGAAAUGCGUAGAUAUAUGGAGGAACACCAGUGGCGAAAGCGGCUCUCUGGUCUGUCACUGACGCUGAGGCUCGAAAGCGUGGGUAGCGAACAGGAUUAGAUACCCUGGUUGUCCACGCCGUAAACGGUGAGUGCUAGGUGUUAGGCCCUUUCCGGGGCUUAGCGCCGGAGCUAACGCAAUAAGCACUCCGCCUGGGGAGUACGACCGCAAGGUUGAAACUCAAAGGAAUUGACGGGGGCCCGCACAAGCGGUGGAGCAUGUGGUUUAAUUCGAAGCAACGCGAAGAACCUUACCAGGUCUUGACAUCCCGAUGCUAUUCUUAGAGAUAGGAAGUUACUUCGGUACAUCGGAGACAGGUGGUGCAUGGUUGUCGUCAACUCGUGUCGUGAGAUGUUGGGUUAAGUCCCGCAACGAGCGCAACCCUUAUUGUUAGUUGCCAUCAUUAAGUUGGGCACACUAGCGAGACUGCCGGUAAUAAACCGGAGGAAGGUGGGGAUGACGUCAAAUCAUCAUGCCCCUUAUGACCUGGGCUACACACGUGCUACAAUGGUCGGUACAACGAGUUGCGAGCCGGUGACGGCAAGCUAAUCUCUGAAAGCCGAUCUCAGUUCGGAUUGGAGGCUGCAACUCGCCUCCAUGAAGUCGGAAUCGCUAGUAAUCGCGGAUCAGCACGCCGCGGUGAAUACGUUCCCGGGCCUUGUACACACCGCCC
Molecule: ribosomal RNA, 759 nt
Filed under: uncultured bacterium
Lineage: Bacteria
Description: bacterial SSU rRNA
Rfam family: Bacterial small subunit ribosomal RNA
Source: RNAcentral